UUAAGCGACUAAGCGUACACGGUGGAUGCCCUGGCAGUCAGAGGCGAUGAAGGACGUGCUAAUCUGCGAAAAGCGUCGGUAAGGUGAUAUGAACCGUUAUAACCGGCGAUGUCCGAAUGGGGAAACCCAGUGCAAUUCGUUGCACUAUCGUUAACUGAAUACAUAGGUUAACGAGGCGAACCGGGGGAACUGAAACAUCUAAGUACCCCGAGGAAAAGAAAUCAACCGAGAUUCCCCCAGUAGCGGCGAGCGAACGGGGAGCAGCCCAGAGUCUGAAUCAGCUUGUGUGUUAGUGGAACGGUCUGGAAAGUCCGACGGUACAGGGUGAUAGUCCCGUACACCAAAAUGCACAGGCUGUGAACUCGAAGAGUAGGGCGGGACACGUGGUAUCCUGUCUGAAUAUGGGGGGACCAUCCUCCAAGGCUAAAUACUCCUGACUGACCGAUAGUGAACCAGUACCGUGAGGGAAAGGCGAAAAGAACCCCGGCGAGGGGAGUGAAAAAGAACCUGAAACCGUGUACGUACAAGCAGUGGGAGCACCUUCGGGUGUGACUGCGUACCUUUUGUAUAAUGGGUCAGCGACUUAUAUUCUGUAGCAAGGUUAACCGUAUAGGGGAGCCGCAGGGAAACCGAGUCUUAACUGGGCGUUAAGUUGCAGGGUAUAGACCCGAAACCCGGUGAUCUAGCCAUGGGCAGGUUGAAGGUUGGGUAACACUAACUGGAGGACCGAACCGACUAAUGUUGAAAAAUUAGCGGAUGACUUGUGGCUGGGGGUGAAAGGCCAAUCAAACCGGGAGAUAGCUGGUUCUCCCCGAAAGCUAUUUAGGUAGCGCCUCGUGAACUCAUCUUCGGGGGUAGAGCACUGUUUCGGCUAGGGGGUCAUCCCGACUUACCAACCCGAUGCAAACUACGAAUACCGAAGAAUGUUAUCACGGGAGACACACGGCGGGUGCUAACGUCCGUCGUGAAGAGGGAAACAACCCAGACCGCCAGCUAAGGUCCCAAAGUCAUGGUUAAGUGGGAAACGAUGUGGGAAGGCACAGACAGCCAGGAUGUUGGCUUAGAAGCAGCCAUCAUUUAAAGAAAGCGUAAUAGCUCACUGGUCGAGUCGGCCUGCGCGGAAGAUGUAACGGGGCUAAACCAUGCACCGAAGCUGCGGCAGCGACACUAUGUGUUGUUGGGUAGGGGAGCGUUCUGUAAGCCUGCGAAGGUGACCUGUGAGGCAUGCUGGAGGUAUCAGAAGUGCGAAUGCUGACAUAAGUAACGAUAAAGCGGGUGAAAAGCCCGCUCGCCGGAAGACCAAGGGUUCCUGUCCAACGUUAAUCGGGGCAGGGUGAGUCGACCCCUAAGGCGAGGCCGAAAGGCGUAGUCGAUGGGAAACAGGUUAAUAUUCCUGUACUUGGUGUUACUGCGAAGGGGGGACGGAGAAGGCUAUGUUAGCCGGGCGACGGUUGUCCCGGUUUAAGCAUGUAGGCUGAUUAUCCAGGCAAAUCCGGAUAAUCAAGGCUGAGGUGUGAUGACGAGGCACUACGGUGCUGAAGUAACAAAUGCCCUGCUUCCAGGAAAAGCCUCUAAGCAUCAGGUAACAUCAAAUCGUACCCCAAACCGACACAGGUGGUCAGGUAGAGAAUACCAAGGCGCUUGAGAGAACUCGGGUGAAGGAACUAGGCAAAAUGGUGCCGUAACUUCGGGAGAAGGCACGCUGGUGUGUAGGUGAAGUCCCUGCGGAUGGAGCUGAGACCAGUCGAAGAUACCAGCUGGCUGCAACUGUUUAUUAAAAACACAGCACUGUGCAAACACGAAAGUGGACGUAUACGGUGUGACGCCUGCCCGGUGCCGGAAGGUUAAUUGAUGGGGUUAUCCGUAAGGAGAAGCUCUUGAUCGAAGCCCCGGUAAACGGCGGCCGUAACUAUAACGGUCCUAAGGUAGCGAAAUUCCUUGUCGGGUAAGUUCCGACCUGCACGAAUGGCGUAAUGAUGGCCAGGCUGUCUCCACCCGAGACUCAGUGAAAUUGAACUCGCUGUGAAGAUGCAGUGUACCCGCGGCAAGACGGAAAGACCCCGUGAACCUUUACUAUAGCUUGACACUGAACAUUGAGCCUUGAUGUGUAGGAUAGGUGGGAGGCUUUGAAGCGUGGACGCCAGUCUGCGUGGAGCCAACCUUGAAAUACCACCCUUUAAUGUUUGAUGUUCUAACGUUGGCCCCUGACCGGGGUUGCGGACAGUGUCUGGUGGGUAGUUUGACUGGGGCGGUCUCCUCCCAAAGCGUAACGGAGGAGCACGAAGGUUAGCUAAUCCUGGUCGGACAUCAGGAGGUUAGUGCAAUGGCAUAAGCUAGCUUGACUGCGAGCGUGACGGCGCGAGCAGGUGCGAAAGCAGGUCAUAGUGAUCCGGUGGUUCUGAAUGGAAGGGCCAUCGCUCAACGGAUAAAAGGUACUCCGGGGAUAACAGGCUGAUACCGCCCAAGAGUUCAUAUCGACGGCGGUGUUUGGCACCUCGAUGUCGGCUCAUCACAUCCUGGGGCUGAAGUAGGUCCCAAGGGUAUGGCUGUUCGCCAUUUAAAGUGGUACGCGAGCUGGGUUUAGAACGUCGUGAGACAGUUCGGUCCCUAUCUGCCGUGGGCGCUGGAGAAUUGAGGGGGGCUGCUCCUAGUACGAGAGGACCGGAGUGGACGCAUCACUGGUGUUCGGGUUGUCAUGCCAAUGGCACUGCCCGGUAGCUAAAUGCGGAAGAGAUAAGUGCUGAAAGCAUCUAAGCACGAAACUUGCCCCGAGAUGAGUUCUCCCUGAGACUUUAAGUCUCCUGAAGGAACGUUAAAGACGAUGACGUUGAUAGGCCGGGUGUGUAAGCGCAGCGAUGCGUUGAGCUAACCGGUACUAAUGAACCGUGAGGCUUAACCUU
This 2900-nucleotide ribosomal RNA is filed under the name Klebsiella pneumoniae. Its description in RNAcentral is "bacterial LSU rRNA". It matches the Rfam family "Bacterial large subunit ribosomal RNA". Lineage: Bacteria; Pseudomonadati; Pseudomonadota; Gammaproteobacteria; Enterobacterales; Enterobacteriaceae. The record is from RNAcentral.